GACGAACGCUGGCGGCGUGCUUAACACAUGCAAGUCGAACGGAAAGGCCCUGCUUUUGUGGGGUGCUCGAGUGGCGAACGGGUGAGUAACACGUGAGUAACCUGCCCUUGACUUUGGGAUAACUUCAGGAAACUGGGGCUAAUACCGGAUAGGAGCUCCUGCUGCAUGUUGGGGGUUGGAAAGUUUCGGCGGUUGGGGAUGGACUCGCGGCUGAUCAGCGUGUUGGUGGGGUAGUGGCUGACCAAGGCUUUGACGGGUAGCCGGCCUGAGAGGGUGAACGGCCACCUUGGGACUGAGAUACGGACCAGAAUCCUACGGGAGGCAGCAGUGGGGAAUAUUGCACAAUGGGCCGAAGCGUGAUGCAGCAACGCCGCGUGCGGGAUGCCGGCCUUCGGGUUGUAAACCGCUUUCGCCUGUGACGACGCGAGAGUGACGGUACUGGGUAAAGAAGCAACGGCUAACUACGUG
This 468-nucleotide ribosomal RNA is filed under the name uncultured bacterium. Its description in RNAcentral is "partial 16S ribosomal RNA". It matches the Rfam family "Bacterial small subunit ribosomal RNA", at positions 28 to 507 of the family's 1533-position model. The record is from RNAcentral.